Molecule: ribosomal RNA, 254 nt
Filed under: uncultured bacterium
Lineage: Bacteria
Description: partial 16S ribosomal RNA
Rfam family: Bacterial small subunit ribosomal RNA
Source: RNAcentral
UACGUAGGCAGCGAGCGUUGUUCGGAAUUACUGGGCGUAAAGGGUGCGUAGGUGGCUUGGUAAGUUUGAUGUGAAAUCUCCGGGCUUAACCCGGAAAUGGCAUUGAAUACUAUUGAGCUGGAGGUUUGGAGGGGGGGACUGGAAUUCUCGGUGUAGCAGUGAAAUGCGUAGAUAUCGAGAGGAACACCAGUGGCGAAGGCGAGUCCCUGGACAACACCUGACACUGAGGCACGAAGGCCAGGGGAGCGAACGGG